CCUACGGGGGGCAGCAGUGGGGAAUAUUGGGCAAUGGGCGCAAGCCUGACCCAGCAACGCCGCGUGAAGGAAGAAGGCUUUCGGGUUGUAAACUUCUUUUAAGAGGGAAGAGCAGAAGACGGUACCUCUUGAAUAAGCCACGGCUAACUACGUGCCAGCAGCCGCGGUAAUACGUAGGUGGCAAGCGUUGUCCGGCUUUACUGGGUGUAAAGGGCGCGUAGCCGGGCUGACAAGUCAGAUGUGAAAUCCGGGGGCUCAACCCCCGAACUGCAUUUGAAACUGUUGGUCUUGAGUAUCGGAGAGGCAGGCGGAAUUGCUAGUGGAGCGGUGAAAUGCGUAGAUAUUAGGAGGAACAGCAGUGGCGAAGGCGGCCUGCUGGACGACAACUGACGGUGAGGCGCGAAAGCGUGGGGAGCAAACAGGAUUAGAUACCCGAGUAGUC
This 442-nucleotide ribosomal RNA is filed under the name uncultured bacterium. Its description in RNAcentral is "partial 16S ribosomal RNA". It matches the Rfam family "Bacterial small subunit ribosomal RNA", at positions 338 to 795 of the family's 1533-position model. The record is from RNAcentral.